Molecule: long non-coding RNA, 789 nt
Organism: Helianthus annuus (common sunflower)
Lineage: Eukaryota; Viridiplantae; Streptophyta; Magnoliopsida; Asterales; Asteraceae
Exons: 2
Source: RefSeq, a predicted model, not a curated record
CAAUUUUUCAUUUUAUAUCUUCUUCAACAGAAGAACCAUAAUCAUCUUCUACUCCAAAUUAUCAUUUCUCCAUUAAUGUCCAUGGAGACAAAUCCACCAACCUCCGAGUUAAUGUCGCCGGUCCAUAGUUUCCCCAACAGGUUCUUUAGCAGCGACUUCCAUACUGAUGAGGAAUUAAAUGCUCAAGCUUCAUCAUCUCGGUUGUGCUCAUGCUUGUUGAAAGCUGAUUUCUAGAGUAAGAAACAACAAUCUUCAUCAUGUUUAUCAAGAACACACAGAGAGAAGCAAGUUUGAAGAUCUUCAUCGUGUUUAUCGUAUGGUUCUAGAUUCGGACGGUGAUGGAUACAAGGGAAAUAAGAUCCAAUUCUCAGGACCGUUGGUUUCGUCAAACGUGGAUCAGAUGCUCAAGGAUCAUGACCAUGUUUAUGUUACAGCACAACACAACUAACACGUGUUAUAGUUUGAACUUAUCGGACAUGCAUGUGUCACAUGUGACAUGAAAACACAUUUUUAUAGCUUCCCUAGCAUACGCACACCCACAUGUUUACAAACCGUUUCAAGACCGACCCAAACAAUAAAGCAAGGGUAGCUGCUGAAAAGCUAAGGCAGCAAAGGUAGCCGCUGAAAAGCUAAGGCAGACUGCCAAAGGAAGCUCCACCAUUUUCUUAGUGCUAUGUAUUUUCGUUUACUAGUAAUAUGUAAUGUGUGACUCUUAUUGUUUUGUCUAGUACAUGAUGUUAAAACGGUAUGGACUUAAAACAUUUUGUGUUGGAGUCGCCCGUGUUUGUA